AGUUAAGAAGCGAAUGUCGCUUUUAGGUUCGAUCUAAACUCUGGAAAAUUUAUUUCCCUUAAUUA
Molecule: transfer RNA, 65 nt
Filed under: Thor amboinensis
Lineage: Eukaryota; Metazoa; Arthropoda; Malacostraca; Decapoda; Hippolytidae
Description: tRNA-Arg
Source: RNAcentral